GCCCAUGGGUCUGAGCUGGAGGGGUUGGGAGGGGGCCAGGUACUGGGCUAAACAGGCCCAUUGGCCUCACCCGGGGUGGCAGUGCCCCCAGCUGAGGUCUCAUUCUCUGUUUCCUCAGUCCUG
Mauremys reevesii (Reeves's turtle) is the source of this 123-nucleotide long non-coding RNA. RefSeq lists it as uncharacterized. The transcript is spliced from 3 exons. Lineage: Eukaryota; Metazoa; Chordata; Testudines; Geoemydidae. The record is from RefSeq and is a predicted model, not a curated record.